This is a non-coding RNA of Chiloscyllium plagiosum (whitespotted bambooshark), 1754 nucleotides long. The record is from RefSeq and is a predicted model, not a curated record. NCBI's taxonomy places the organism in Eukaryota, Metazoa, Chordata, Chondrichthyes, Orectolobiformes, Hemiscylliidae.
GCUCCUCUGUGUGGAGGUGCUGGCCUCAGCGAGGAGAGAACGCCAGCUAUAAGCUCUGCGUUGAGACCAAACACUCGAGCCGCGCCUUGGCGAAUUGAGAGUGAAAGUUGGUGCAGAUGCAGCUUCUCUUUUGCACCUGGUUUAUUGACGGGGAAAUGGAAAAAGAGUCGACAAUCCUGACAGCUUUAGAAUUGUGAAUGAUGCAGGGAUGCUGUUGCCUGACGUUUCCAACACAGAAACGGACAAUUUUUGCCCAACUAACUGGGAUUUAUAACCACAGGAGUAUCCUGCCCUUCAUCUCAUCCCGACAAACACAGCCUCAUUUCAUAUUCCAGCUUUCCCUUAAAUUGGAUAAGCGCAGACGUCGGAGAAUCGUAUUGAUCGAUUUUAAUUUUACCCGAAACAAAAUUAAUACUAAAUAAACUUGAAUCAAAAUUAACACUAUUACAAACAAACCAUUAAAUCGAAAAGAUCGCAACUGUAAUUAUGUAUACCUGUAUAUGGCUGAGAGAUCAUGUCUUCUCAACACCCUUUACUGGUAAUGAAUAAAGGUGAUGGGGUGAACUCGUGAAGGAGAGUGGAAUUCGCAUCAGCUUGUUACACUCCAUUUUAGACGUACAUGUUAAAUUUGAUGGGUGGGCGCCGAAAGAGAAGGACUGAAGUAAAAUGCUGCUAAAUGUGCCGAGGUACUGUUUAGAAGAUUAGGCAAUGAUUUAUUUCAGAGUGAUUCAAAAUGUAGCCGAAAACCUUUCAAAAUGGGGUUUUCUUUGCCUCAAUCCCAAAUAGUAGCAGCAAUAAUAAUGUUUUUAACUUCCAGACAUUGGCCUGAAACUCCCCGGGAUGAAGUUGAGGGUUUGUGCUAACAUGCUUGUUGGGGAUCUGGACGUCCUGAAGCAUCUCAAGAAGAGAGCUCUACUCGGAUGCUCAAACUGGAUUUGAUUUGUAAAACAGAAAUCAAAAAGCUGCAAUCCUCCAGCAGAAUUACAAGAUUCAUUCGGCCUUAAUAAAAGGUCAGAAACCAACAGAACUCUGUAAUCACUGGAGAAGAUUUCGGUUGUUCACUACUUAUGUGCAUUUGUGAGAAAGGGCCACCACGUUAAAUGCUAUUUUUAUAUUCAUGCAUGGAUUCUACCAGACCUGCUGAGUGUUCCCAGCAUUUACUAUUUUUACUCAAAAAGGACAUGUUACCGAGGCCCAAUUGCGCUACACUAACAACCAGUUUAGAUAAUUUGUCCCUAACACGCCACGUUAAAUUGGAAAUGUUAAUUUUGUUUCUCUCCCUUUGGCUCGGCUAGUCGCUCUGGAUGACAUUUACAUACAGGGACCUGUUCUUUGCAAACUUUCUUCAGGACAAUGCUUUGACAAUUUGAAUAAAGUUGCUAAUCAAUCAGCAUCCUUUUUGUCUGGUAGUAUAAAUUGUUGCAAUCUAAUUUGUUUUGGCAUGUGCAAGAUGCAAAGCUUUGAUAAUGCCUUUCGUUUCAGCAACUUUCUAUAUUGAUUUCUGAUUUCCCACGUCCGUGAGUGUUUUGGUUUUGUAUUUGGUAUUCAAGCCCUCAGCUCUCAAAUACUUUUAUUUUGUGUCGGUUUGUUAGAUGUGCGAGGCAAGGCAAUGUACAUUCAUUUACUGUGUCAUGUGGAAUUCCUUUUAUUUCAGAAUAGCACUUUUUAUUCGGGACAGUUUCUUCUGGUAAUAAUGUCCCAUGCAUGUAACAAACAAAUUACAGUUGAAAUAAACAUAUUUUUCACCCAUUUCA